UAAGUGUAUUGGAUUUGUUCG
Molecule: non-coding RNA, 21 nt
Filed under: Caenorhabditis elegans
Lineage: Eukaryota; Metazoa; Nematoda; Chromadorea; Rhabditida; Rhabditidae
Source: RNAcentral